RNAcentral lists this transfer-messenger RNA (367 nucleotides) under Nitratireductor aquimarinus. It matches the Rfam family "Alphaproteobacteria transfer-messenger RNA". From Rfam's summary of the family: Bacterial tmRNA, also known as 10Sa RNA or SsrA, is named for its dual tRNA and mRNA-like properties. Its role is to liberate the mRNA from a stalled ribosome. To accomplish this part of the tmRNA is used as a reading frame that ends in a translation stop signal. The record is from RNAcentral. Lineage: Bacteria; Pseudomonadati; Pseudomonadota; Alphaproteobacteria; Hyphomicrobiales; Phyllobacteriaceae.
CCCCUUUUCUUGCGAGGGCCGGGUCACUAUAUUCGCUGCGUCGGCUUGACCGACUAUGGCGAUAAACUGCCGGUGAAAUAAGCCAUUCGGACCCGGGGGCAGUGCCCGGCGCCUCCACCACAAACCGCCGCAGGGCUCCGGCCGAGGGCGGCUUCUGAUGGGGGCGAAACAGGAUCGACGAGGGUGUAAAGAUCGGACUUUCGCUCGGCAUGAUACCACCGUUAUCGGGUCAAACUAGUAGUUGCAAACGACAACUAUGCGGAGGCACGUCUCGCUGCUUAAUGCAGUGCGACAGCUUCACUUGAACUCCUAAGGGUUCGCACCUUUAGGCGGGGUCCGGAGGCACCUGGCAACAGAAGCCUCCACU